AGAGUUGAUCCUGGCUCAGGAUGAACGCUGGCGGCGUGCCUAACACAUGCAAGUCGAACGGACCCAUGGAGAUGAUUAGCUUGCUAUGAAUUCCGGAAGGUUAGUGGCGGACGGGUGAGUAACGCGUGGGCAACCUGCCCUGUACUGGGGGAUAGCAGCCGGAAACGGCUGGUAAUACCGCAUAAGCGCACAGUACCGCAUGGUACAGUGUGAAAAGCUCCGACGGUGCAGGAUGGGCCCGCGUCCGAUUAGCCAGUUGGCGGGUAACGGCCCACCAAAGCGACGAUCGGUAGCCGGCCUGAGAGGGCGGACGGCCACAUUGGGACUGAGACACGGCCCAGACUCCUACGGGAGGCAGCAGUGGGGGAUAUUGCACAAUGGGGGAAACCCUGAUGCAAGCGACGCCGCGUGGGUGAAGAAGUAUUUCGGUAUGUAAAGCCCUAUCAGCAGGGACGAUAAUGACGGUACCUGAGUAAGAAGCCCCAGCUAACUACGUGCCAGCAGCAGC
RNAcentral lists this ribosomal RNA (508 nucleotides) under uncultured bacterium. RNAcentral's name for it is "bacterial SSU rRNA". It matches the Rfam family "Bacterial small subunit ribosomal RNA", at positions 8 to 518 of the family's 1533-position model. The record is from RNAcentral.